Molecule: ribosomal RNA, 301 nt
Filed under: uncultured bacterium
Lineage: Bacteria
Description: partial 16S ribosomal RNA
Rfam family: Bacterial small subunit ribosomal RNA
Source: RNAcentral
CAGCAGCCACGGUAAUACGGAGGGUGCAAGCGUUAAUCGGAUUUACUGGGCGUACAGGGCGCGUAGGUGGUUAUUUAAGUGAGAUGUGAAAGCCCCGGGCUUAACCUGGGAACUGCAUCUUAUACUGGGUAACUGGAGUGCAGUAGAGGGUAGUGGAAUUUCCGGUGUAGCGGUGAAAUGCGUAGAUAUCGGAAGGAACACCAGUGGCGAAGGCGGCUACCUGGACUGAGACUGACACUGAGGCGCGAGAGCGUGGGGAGCAAACAGGAUUAGAUACCCGUGUAGUCCCUGUCUCUUAUAC